RNAcentral lists this ribosomal RNA (650 nucleotides) under Escherichia coli. RNAcentral describes it as "partial 23S ribosomal RNA". It matches the Rfam family "Bacterial large subunit ribosomal RNA", at positions 609 to 1259 of the family's 2925-position model. The record is from RNAcentral. Lineage: Bacteria; Pseudomonadati; Pseudomonadota; Gammaproteobacteria; Enterobacterales; Enterobacteriaceae.
UGUAUAAUGGGUCAGCGACUUAUAUUCUGUAGCAAGGUUAACCGAAUAGGGGAGCCGAAGGGAAACCGAGUCUUAACUGGGCGUUAAGUUGCAGGGUAUAGACCCGAAACCCGGUGAUCUAGCCAUGGGCAGGUUGAAGGUUGGGUAACACUAACUGGAGGACCGAACCGACUAAUGUUGAAAAAUUAGCGGAUGACUUGUGGCUGGGGGUGAAAGGCCAAUCAAACCGGGAGAUAGCUGGUUCUCCCCGAAAGCUAUUUAGGUAGCGCCUCGUGAAUUCAUCUCCGGGGGUAGAGCACUGUUUCGGCAAGGGGGUCAUCCCGACUUACCAACCCGAUGCAAACUGCGAAUACCGGAGAAUGUUAUCACGGGAGACACACGGCGGGUGCUAACGUCCGUCGUGAAGAGGGAAACAACCCAGACCGCCAGCUAAGGUCCCAAAGUCAUGGUUAAGUGGGAAACGAUGUGGGAAGGCCCAGACAGCCAGGAUGUUGGCUUAGAAGCAGCCAUCAUUUAAAGAAAGCGUAAUAGCUCACUGGUCGAGUCGGCCUGCGCGGAAGAUGUAACGGGGCUAAACCAUGCACCGAAGCUGCGGCAGCGACACUAUGUGUUGUUGGGUAGGGGAGCGUUCUGUAAGCCUGUGAAGGUGG